AAAUGAAGAUCCAUAGUCAGUAGGAACGUCUCAAAAUGUACUACUGAUAACCCUGUCUAUCACCCAACUCAAAAUUGUGGAGAGCCUACGAUCAACCAUCUGAUCGCAGUGUGAGAGCAGAAGGACACCACGAUUAUAGCCAAUGCAAAUGUCUAGAGUUGGUUGAAGAACUCCCUAGCAGAAAAGGUCAAAUGAGAUAUCAGUGUUAAUCAUUUCUAAAGCUUUUCAUCUGGAAAGCACUUUAGGGACAAACCUAACCCUUAGUUCACUCUAAGAGGUUGGCCCUUCCUGAGCUACCUUAACCUAGAAGGAAUGCUUAGUCUAGUUCAUCUCAAGGACCAGGACAGACAACGAUCGUGGAAUAGAUUCUGAAGUGACCUCAACGAUCGUAAAGUAGGCUCGACGAUCGCAGUCUUCCCAGAGGAUACACUAGCUCAUGGGGAGCUCGGAAGAA
RNAcentral lists this long non-coding RNA (454 nucleotides) under Panax ginseng (ginseng). RNAcentral describes it as "long non-coding RNA (PGIN_LNC013674)". The record is from RNAcentral. Lineage: Eukaryota; Viridiplantae; Streptophyta; Magnoliopsida; Apiales; Araliaceae.